Molecule: ribosomal RNA, 166 nt
Filed under: uncultured bacterium
Lineage: Bacteria
Description: partial 16S ribosomal RNA
Rfam family: Bacterial small subunit ribosomal RNA
Source: RNAcentral
UAGUAAUGGCAGGUCAGCAUACUGCCGUGAAUACGUUCCCGGGCCCUUGUACACACCGCCCGUCACACCAUGAGAGUUGGGGAUACCCGAAGCCUGUGAGCUAACAGUAAUGAAGCAGCAGUCGAAGGUAGAAUCAAUGAUUGGGGUGAAGUCGUAACAAGGUAGC